ACACGUAACUCAGUGUUCGCUGGAACGUGGAAGAGAAAGGUUGUGUGUCGCACCUCUCUCUCGCACCUCCAUCCAUCCCUCUCCCUGUCUUCCGCUCUCCUCCUCCUCCUGUACGUCUGUGUGUGCGUGUGUGUAGAGAGAGGAGGGAGAGUUAUUCUUGUACUUACUUCCAUGUGCGUGUGCGUGUGCGUGUGCGUGUGUGUAUUGGUGUGUGUACGUGUUGAAGUUGGCACACGUGUAUUGUACAUGAAAGGGAGAUGAAGAAGAAGAUUUAGAAAGAAGAGGAAGAUUGAAGAAGGAGAGAUCGUUUAGUGAUGUGGAAGGAAAAGGAGAGGGAAAAAAAGUUAUAGUUGGAGAAAGUAAAGUGGAUGAAAGGAAAAUAAAAGUUGUACUAAGAAAAAGUUAAUAAAACGGAGAAAAGAAGAGAGAAAAGAAUAAUUUGACAAGUGUAAGAAACAAAACAGGAAAAAAAGUGUACUAGAAAAGUUAAUUGAACGUGGAAAAGGAGAGAGGAAAGAAAGUUUGACAAGUGGAAGAAAAAAUGGAAAAGAUAAAAGUUGUACUAGAAAGAAAUUAAACGAACGAGGAAAAGUAAAGAAAAAAAAUAAGUUCGCAAAGUAGAAGAAAGAAAAUAAAAUGCACUAGAAAAAAAUAUUGAACGUGGAAAAGAAUAAAGUUUGACAAGUGGAAGAAAAAAUGGAAAAGAUAAAAGUUGUACUCGAAAAAAAAUAAACGAACGAGGAAAAGUAAAGAAAAAAAUAAGUUCGCAAAGUAGAAGAAAAAAAAGCACUAGAAAAAAAUAUUGAACGUGGAAAAGAAUAAAGCUUGACAAGUGGAAGAAAGGAAAAAAAAAAAAAUCGUAUUAGAAAAAAAAAGUUUAUUGACCGUUUAGAAGAAAUUAAACGUGUUCUAUUUAACGAAGCAAUCGCUCAGUGGUGGUGGUCGCGGUGGUGAAGUCCAAAGAAGAAGCGCUCGUGGUGAUGAUAAUGGUGAUGAUGAUGGUGGUGAUGGUGAUGAUGCAUGGUUGACGGACGAUGGGGGAGGUGAACCGUGUGGUGGUUGAUUGCUACCACCACAACGACCACAACAACAACCAUAGCAAUUACUACUACUACUACUACAACUACUACUACAACUACUACUACUACUCAUUGAAGGAUUAUAAACUAUCUGUAAACAACAACAACAACAAAAACAGUUAUAGAUGACAACUACCUAAGUCAUCCCGGUACUACUACUACUACUACUACUACUACUACUACUACUACAACGACUACUUCAUAAACCGCCGCUACGAUGAAUAAGCACGACCAGGCCUCAGCGAUGGAGGACACGGUGCAUCGGCGCUGUGUUCGCUGUGGAGACGCCUGCCCAGGAUUUGAAGCCCAUUUUUGGAGGUGAGUGG
This is a long non-coding RNA of Eriocheir sinensis (Chinese mitten crab), 1405 nucleotides long. RefSeq lists it as uncharacterized. The record is from RefSeq and is a predicted model, not a curated record. The transcript is spliced from 3 exons. Lineage: Eukaryota; Metazoa; Arthropoda; Malacostraca; Decapoda; Varunidae.